RNAcentral lists this non-coding RNA (27 nucleotides) under Homo sapiens (human). The record is from RNAcentral. Lineage: Eukaryota; Metazoa; Chordata; Mammalia; Primates; Hominidae.
GCCGAUGUUAAGAGAGUAUACAGGUGG